AAAAGAAAUAGAGGUGCGGAAAUUAAGAAGUGACUAUUAUAUGAAUACAGUCAGAUAGUCAUAGAGGAAUAACGCCGAAGAAUUCUUAAAGCUGUAUAUGAAAGAAUUCUGGUGAGAUAGAGAAUAUCUAUAUCAUUGUCACAAAAUAUUUGUGGAGAGCUAUUGUAUAA
This is a regulatory RNA element of Eggerthia catenaformis, 170 nucleotides long. It matches the Rfam family "Lysine riboswitch aptamer". From Rfam's summary of the family: Riboswitches are metabolite binding domains within certain messenger RNAs that serve as precision sensors for their corresponding targets. Allosteric rearrangement of mRNA structure is mediated by ligand binding, and this results in modulation of gene expression. NCBI's taxonomy places the organism in Bacteria, Bacillati, Bacillota, Erysipelotrichia, Erysipelotrichales, Coprobacillaceae. The record is from Rfam.